RNAcentral lists this ribosomal RNA (386 nucleotides) under Rhizobium sp. AC56. RNAcentral describes it as "bacterial SSU rRNA". It matches the Rfam family "Bacterial small subunit ribosomal RNA", at positions 973 to 1359 of the family's 1533-position model. The record is from RNAcentral. Lineage: Bacteria; Pseudomonadati; Pseudomonadota; Alphaproteobacteria; Hyphomicrobiales; Rhizobiaceae.
ACCAGCCCUUGACAUGUCCGGCUAGCUACAGAGAUGUAGUGUUCCCUUCGGGGACCGGAGCACAGGUGCUGCAUGGCUGUCGUCAGCUCGUGUCGUGAGAUGUUGGGUUAAGUCCCGCAACGAGCGCAACCCUCGCCCUUAGUUGCCAGCAUUCAGUUGGGCACUCUAAGGGGACUGCCGGUGAUAAGCCGAGAGGAAGGUGGGGAUGACGUCAAGUCCUCAUGGCCCUUACGGGCUGGGCUACACACGUGCUACAAUGGUGGUGACAGUGGGCAGCGAAGGAGCGAUCCCGAGCUAAUCUCCAAAAGCCAUCUCAGUUCGGAUUGCACUCUGCAACUCGAGUGCAUGAAGUUGGAAUCGCUAGUAAUCGCGGAUCAGCACGUCCG